Molecule: ribosomal RNA, 488 nt
Filed under: uncultured Planctomycetota bacterium
Lineage: Bacteria; Pseudomonadati; Planctomycetota
Description: bacterial SSU rRNA
Rfam family: Bacterial small subunit ribosomal RNA
Source: RNAcentral
UACGGGAGCGGCAAACGGGGUAGGAAUACAUCGGAACGUACCUUCUGGUUGAGAAUAGCGUUGGGAAACUGACGGUAAUACUCAAUAAAGUCGAGAGACCAAAGGUUUACUGCCGGAAGAGCGGCCGAUGCGAUAUUAGGUAGUUGGUGGGGUAAUGGCCUACCAAGCCUGAGAUGUCUAGGGGGUGUGAGAGCAUGGCCCCCACCACUGGGACUGAGAUACUGCCCAGACACCUACGGGUGGCUGCAGUCGAGGAUCUUCGUCAAUGGGCGAAAGCCUGAACGAGCGACGCCGCGUGCGGGAUGAAGGCCCUUGGGUUGUAAACCGCUGUCAGGGGGGAUGAAACCGUAAGGUUGACAGAGCCCCAGAGGAAGCACGGGCUAAGUUCGUGCCAGCAGCCGCGGUAAUACGAACUGUGCGAACGUUACUCGGAAUCACUGGGCUUACAGGGUGCGUAGGUGGCUUGAUAAGCAGGGUGUGAAAUCCCU